Molecule: ribosomal RNA, 242 nt
Filed under: uncultured Bacillus sp.
Lineage: Bacteria; Bacillati; Bacillota; Bacilli; Caryophanales; Bacillaceae
Description: partial 16S ribosomal RNA
Rfam family: Bacterial small subunit ribosomal RNA
Source: RNAcentral
CGGACGGGUGAGUAACACGUGGGUAACCUGCCCAUAAGACUGGGAUAACUCCGGGAAACCGGGGCUAAUACCGGAUAACAUUUUGAACUGCAUGGUUAGAAAUUGAAAGGCGGCUUCGGCUGUCACUUAUGGAUGGACCCGCGUCGCAUUAGCUAGUUGGUGAGGUAACGGCUCACCAAGGCAACGAUGCGUAGCCGACCUGAGAGGGUGAUCGGCCACACUGGGACUGAGACACGGCCCAG